CAGCCGCCGCGGUAAUACGUAGGGUGCAAGCGUUAAUCGGAAUUACUGGGCGUAAAGGGCGCGUAGGUGGUUAUUUAAGUGAGAUGUGAAAGCCCCGGGCUUAACCUGGGAACUGCAUCUUAUACUGGGUCACUAGAGUGUGGUAGAGGAUAGUGGAAUUUCCGGUGUAGCAGUGAAAUGCGUAGAGAUCGGAAGGAACAUCUGUGGCGAAGGCGACUAUCCGGGCCAACACUGACACUGAGGCACGAAAGCGUGGGGAGCAAACAGGAUUAGAUACCCCUGUAGUCCCUGUCUCUUAUAC
RNAcentral lists this ribosomal RNA (301 nucleotides) under uncultured bacterium. Its description in RNAcentral is "partial 16S ribosomal RNA". It matches the Rfam family "Bacterial small subunit ribosomal RNA", at positions 509 to 807 of the family's 1533-position model. The record is from RNAcentral.